GCCCUUCACUACGGAAUAGCCUUUGGAAACGAAGAGUAAUACCGUAUACGCCCUUUUGGGGAAAGAUUUAUCGGUGAAGGAUUAGCCCGCGUCUGAUUAGAUAGUUGGUGGGGUAACGGCCUACCAAGUCGACGAUCAGUAGCUGGUUUGAGAGGAUGAUCAGCAACACUGGGACUGAGACACGGCCCAGACUCCUACGGGAGGCAGCAGUGGGGAAUCUUAGACAAUGGGCGCAAGCCUGAUCUAGCCAUGCCGCGUGAGUGACGAAGGCCUUAGGGUCGUAAAGCUCUUUCGCCAGGGAUGAUAAUGACAGUACCUGGUAAAGAAACCCCGGCUAACUCCGUGCCAGCAGCCGCGGUAAUACGGAGGGGGUUAGCGUUGUUCGGAAUUACUGGGCGUAAAGCGCGCGUAGGCGGAUUGGAAAGUUGGGGGUGAAAUCCCGGGGCUCAACCCCGGAACUGCCUCCAAAACUAUCAGUCUAGAGUUCGAGAGAGGUGAGUGGAAUUCCAAGUGUAGAGGUGAAAUUCGUAGAUAUUUGGAGGAACACCAGUGGCGAAGGCGGCUCACUGGCUCGAUACUGACGCUGAGGUGCGAAAGUGUGGGGAGCAAACAGGAUUAGAUACCCUGGUAGUCCACACCGUAAACGAUGAAUGCCAGACGUCGGGGGGCUUGCCCUUCGGUGUCACACCUAACGGAUUAAGCAUUCCGCCUGGGGAGUACGG
Molecule: ribosomal RNA, 722 nt
Filed under: uncultured bacterium
Lineage: Bacteria
Description: bacterial SSU rRNA
Rfam family: Bacterial small subunit ribosomal RNA
Source: RNAcentral